This is a non-coding RNA of Phoenix dactylifera (date palm), 1887 nucleotides long. The record is from RefSeq and is a predicted model, not a curated record. NCBI's taxonomy places the organism in Eukaryota, Viridiplantae, Streptophyta, Magnoliopsida, Arecales, Arecaceae.
CCGACCGUUUUCUUGUCUUUUUUCUUCUCGAACCCGUGACGAUCGUCGCGUCAGCCUCGAGAGGCCCGGUCGCCCUCGACUCUCGUCUCUUCUGGUUUCUUAUUCCACCGCGUCCGGUCCCUUCGCGAAUCCCCUUCCCUCCGGUUCCAAAUCGAUCGCCGGCGGUGUGAUGGCGGCGGUGGUGAAAAAUCUCUUGGAUUUCCUUACCCAAUUGCGCAACUUUCUCUUCAUCGGUUGCCUGCUCGAAUCGAUCUAGGGUUUCCUUUCCCUGUCUGCGAUCAUCGGGCUGGAAAGCCUGGAAGCCAGCCAUGCUCAAUCCAAAGGCUUGAAAUUUCAAAAAAAGAAAGAGAAAAAAGAGCGGAGCCCUUGUUUCGUGCGGCUGCAGCUUGCGGAGGAGAUGGGGGCUCGAAAGCCCUCUUUCUCGCUCACCCCUCUCCCUCACUCCCUUCCUCCCUCUCUCUCUCCCUCCCUCCCUCCCUCCCUCCCUCUAUUUCCUUCUCCCUUUCCCCUUCCCUUGCCGGACUUCUCCGAAGAGGGUGUUCGGAACAGUACCGUCUUCAUUGUUUCCAGAGUUUCUAAAGAUUUUAUUGGAAGCGCAUCAGAAUUAUUUCUUAUUUCUUAUUGAAUGUUUGUUUACAGGAGAGUCUUAUUGAUUCAGAUGUUUCUUUAAGCUACUAAUAAUUUACUAACUGGUUUGACAUUCAAAUUAUAGGAUUGCUUUUAUAUACAUGGAUGAUGAAUGUGAUGCAGAGGAUGGAAUUCACGGAUUGGACCAGAUAUGAUUUGAGAGACGCGGAUACUGGCUUCAUGUUGAGUGGACAAAGUUGAUUACUGGCUAGCAUAUCUACUUGCUAACUGCUAUUUCUACAUGCCCUUUGUUAUUCAGGCAUGCGACUAUAUGCAUAUAAUGAUUCAUUUGGAUGGUGUGACGUUGGAUCUGAUAUCUUAAGAACCGAAGUGCUGGUUUUCUUCUUUGUGGAAUGUCUGGGCCAUUUAAUGGGUGAACUGACUAUUUGCCAUCAUUAGUGGGUCGAGCUACCACAUCAGGAGCCAUGGAUCCCUCAGUAGUGGUCAAAACCUAGAAAUAUUUCUUGGAUUUGGUGAUCACCCAAUAUCAAAUGGGAACAACUGUUGGAGUAUGACUUGAUUAGGGUGCACAUUCACGGUAGGUGCAUGCUCAUGGUAGCUUUGUGCAUCGAUGGAUACAUGUUAGUUUUAAUUAAGAGGGCUUGUAUUUUUUAGCUGGCUCAUGUGUCGCCCAUGUCUUUUAAUCUGAUUGGCCUAUGAGCCUGUUGCUACAAUAUAGUUGUCGUGUGUGCCAUUGUACCAUCUCCAACACCUUAUUGUUGCAGUAGGUUAACAAGUGAAUUUGGAAACAUGACUCAUGAAUCAGACCAAGACUGUUUACUUCCCUCCUGCUCCUGCAUGGCAGCAAUCCUGAAAAUUUCAACUAGGAGCUCAUGUUUGGAGGCAUUGAGUAGAAGGGAGCAUGGUGGUAUAGCUCUGUUCAUAGCACAGAUGUGGCAGAAUUUGGUGUUAUUCUUUGAGCCCGUGUUAACAUUUAUCUAAUAUUGUAGUUGACCCUGAUGAAAAGCUUGUUAGGGAUGCAUGGCCUAUAUCUUAAGUAUUUAAGUUCAAAAGUUUCUACUUGCUAUCUUGUAGCUGAUAAAAUCAGAUACUUGGUAAAGGCAGAAGCAAUAUAUUUUUCGACCUAUUUGUGUGAGAGUUGCUGAAAUCAAUGAUAAUUGAAAGAGACUAGGUUGAUGUUAUGAAGAGGUCAGAUGGCAACUGAGCUUGAAUUUCUUUAGAAAUUGUUGUCCAAACUAAAGUGCCAGAGUUGCUAGAGAAUUGUUCACUUUAUAAUAUUUCUAGUUAGAAUUCAAUUGA